UACGGAGGGUGCAAGCGUUAUCCGGAUUCACUGGGUUUAAAGGGUGCGUAGGUGGGCAAGUAAGUCAGUGGUGAAAUCUCCGGGCUUAACCCGGAAACUGCCAUUGAUACUAUUUGUCUUGAAUACUGUGGAGGUCAGCGGAAUAUGUCAUGUAGCGGUGAAAUGCUUAGAUAUGACAUAGAACACCAAUUGCGAAGGCAGCUUACUGCGCAUAUAUUGACGCUGAGGCACGAAAGCGUGGGGAGCAAACAGG
RNAcentral lists this ribosomal RNA (253 nucleotides) under uncultured bacterium. RNAcentral describes it as "partial 16S ribosomal RNA". It matches the Rfam family "Bacterial small subunit ribosomal RNA", at positions 524 to 776 of the family's 1533-position model. The record is from RNAcentral.